AUUGAACGCUGGCGGCAUGCCUUACACAUGCAAGUCGAACGGUAAAGGGCCUUCGGGUGCCGACGAGUGGCGAACGGGUGAGUAAUACAUCGGAACGUGCCCGAUCGUGGGGGAUAACGAGGCGAAAGCUUUGCUAAUAACGCAUACGAUCUACGCAUGAAAUCAGGGGACCGCAAGGCCUUGCGCGGACGGAGCGGCCGAUGGGAGAUUAGGUAGUUGGUGGGAUAAAAGCUUACCAAGCCGACGAUCUGUAGCUGGUCUGAGAGGAUGAUCAGCCACACUGGGACUGAGACACGGCCCAGACUCCUACGGGAGGCAGCAGUGGGGAAUUUUGGACAAUGGGCGCAAGCCUGAUCCAGCCAUGCCGCGUGCAGGAUGAAGGCCUUCGGGUUGUAAACUGCUUUUGUACGGAACGAAAAGCCUUCUUUUAAUACAGGAGGGUCAUGACGGUACCGUAAGAAUAAGCACCGGCUAACUACGUG
RNAcentral lists this ribosomal RNA (482 nucleotides) under uncultured bacterium. Its description in RNAcentral is "partial 16S ribosomal RNA". It matches the Rfam family "Bacterial small subunit ribosomal RNA", at positions 30 to 507 of the family's 1533-position model. The record is from RNAcentral.